UUGCUUUAGCAGCAUAUAUACUAAAAUUGGAAUGAUACCAAGAAGAUUAGCAUGGUCCCUGUGCAAGGUUGACAUGCAGUAAAUUAGGAGUUUAAGAGUAAC
This is a small nuclear RNA of Mesoplodon densirostris (Blainville's beaked whale), 102 nucleotides long. The record is from RefSeq and is a predicted model, not a curated record. NCBI's taxonomy places the organism in Eukaryota, Metazoa, Chordata, Mammalia, Artiodactyla, Ziphiidae.